CCUACGGGAGGCAGCAGUGAGGAAUAUUGGUCAAUGGCCGGAAGGCUGAACCAGCCAAGCCGCGUGAAGGACGAAGGUGCCAAGCAUUGUAAACUUCUUUUGUCAGGGGACAAAAUGAGGCUCGAGAGCCUGACCGAGGGUACUUGAAGAAAAAGCAUCGGCUAACUCCGUGCCAGCAGCCGCGGUAAUACGGAGGGUGCGAGCGUUAUCCGGAUUUAUUGGGUUUAAAGGGUGCGUAGGCGGGCUGUUAAGUGAGUGGUAAAAGCCCGGGGCUCAACCGCGGCGAGCCGGUGAAACUGGGGGUCUUGAGACGUCGAGAGGUAUGCGGAAUGCGCAGUGUAGCGGUGAAAUGCUUAGAUAUCGCGAAGAACUCCGAUUGCGAAGGCAGCAUACCGUCGGCGAUCUGACGCUGAGGCACGAAGGCGUGGGUAUCGAACAGGAUUAGAUACCCUGGUAGUC
RNAcentral lists this ribosomal RNA (459 nucleotides) under uncultured bacterium. RNAcentral's name for it is "partial 16S ribosomal RNA". It matches the Rfam family "Bacterial small subunit ribosomal RNA", at positions 338 to 795 of the family's 1533-position model. The record is from RNAcentral.